This 72-nucleotide transfer RNA is filed under the name Ictidomys tridecemlineatus (thirteen-lined ground squirrel). RNAcentral's name for it is "Spermophilus tridecemlineatus (thirteen-lined ground squirrel) tRNA". It matches the Rfam family "tRNA". Rfam says of the family: Transfer RNA (tRNA) molecules are approximately 80 nucleotides in length. Their secondary structure includes four short double-helical elements and three loops (D, anti-codon, and T loops). Lineage: Eukaryota; Metazoa; Chordata; Mammalia; Rodentia; Sciuridae. The record is from Rfam by way of RNAcentral.
UGGGGUGUGGCUCAGUGGUAGAGUGCUUACCUCUCAUGAGGGAGGCACUGGGUUCGAUCCUCAGCACCACAU